This 660-nucleotide ribosomal RNA is filed under the name uncultured Actinomycetes bacterium. RNAcentral describes it as "SSU rRNA". It matches the Rfam family "Bacterial small subunit ribosomal RNA", at positions 245 to 915 of the family's 1533-position model. The record is from RNAcentral. Lineage: Bacteria; Bacillati; Actinomycetota; Actinomycetes.
CUUGUUGGUGAGGUAACGGCUCACCAAGGCUUCGACGGGUAGCCGGCCUGAGAGGGCGACCGGCCACACUGGGACUGAGAUACGGCCCAGACUCCUACGGGAGGCAGCAGUGGGGAAUAUUGCACAAUGGGCGAAAGCCUGAUGCAGCAACGCCGCGUGCGGGAUGACGGCCUUCGGGUUGUAAACCGCUUUCAGUAGGGACGAAGGUAACCUGACGGCACCUACAGAAGAAGGACCGGCCAACUACGUGCCAGCAGCCGCGGUGAUACGUAGGGUCCGAGCGUUGUCCGGAAUUAUUGGGCGUAAAGGGCUUGUAGGCGGUCUGUCACGUCGGAAGUGAAAACUCAGGGCUUAACCCUGAGCCUGCUUCCGAUACGGGCAGACUAGAGGGAUGCAGGGGAGAACGGAAUUCCUGGUGGAGCGGUGGAAUGCGCAGAUAUCAGGAGGAACACCGGUGGCGAAGGCGGUUCUCUGGGCAUUUCCUGACGCUGAGAAGCGAAAGCGUGGGGAGCAAACAGGCUUAGAUACCCUGGUAGUCCACGCCGUAAACGGUGGGCACUAGGUGUGGGGAACAUUCCACGUUCUCCGUGCCGCAGCUAACGCAUUAAGUGCCCCGCCUGGGGAGUACGGCCGCAAGGCUAAAACUCAAAGGAAUUGACG